RNAcentral lists this ribosomal RNA (1243 nucleotides) under uncultured phototrophic eukaryote. RNAcentral's name for it is "partial 16S ribosomal RNA". It matches the Rfam family "Bacterial small subunit ribosomal RNA", at positions 61 to 1425 of the family's 1533-position model. The record is from RNAcentral.
GUCGUACGGAAAAGUAAUUUUUAGUGGCGAACGGGUGAGUAACACGUGAGAAUCUGCCUUUAGGAAGAGGAUAACAUCUAGAAAUAUUUGCUAAUACUCUAUAUGCUUUACAGUGAAAGAAUUUAUUCGCCUAAAGAGGAGCUCGCGUCUGAUUAGCUAGUUGGUGGGGUAAAGGCCUACCAAGGCGACGAUCAGUAGUUGGUCUGAGAGGACGGCCAGCCACAUUGGAACUGAGACACGGUCCAGACUCUUACGGGAGGCAGCAGUGAGGAAUUUUCUACAAUGGACGAAAGUCUGAUAGAGCAAUACCGCGUGAGGGAUGACUGCCUACGGGUUGUAAACCUCUUUUCUCAAGGAGGAAGAUAUGACGUUACUUGAGGAAUAAGCAUCGGCUAACCCUGUGCCAGCAGCCGCGGUAAUACAGGGGAUGCAAGUGUUAUCCGGAAUUAUUGGGCGUAAAGCGUCUGCAGGUUGAUCUACAAGUCUUUUGUUAAAUUUUCAGGCUUAACCUGAAGCCAGCAAAAGAAACUGUUUAUCUUGAGUAUGGUAGAGGUAAGGGGAAUUUCCAGUGGAGCGGUGAAAUGCGUAGAUAUUGGAAAGAACACCAACAGCGAAGGCACCUUACUGGGCCAUUACUGACACUCAGAGACGAAAGCUAGGGUAGCAAACGGGAUUAGAUACCCCGGUAGUCCUAGCCGUAAACGAUGGAUACUAGAUGUUGCGUACCUUAUUGGUAUGCAGUGUCGUAGCUAACGCGUUAAGUAUCCCGCCUGGGAAGUAUGCGCGCAAGCGUGAAACUCAAGGAAUUGACGGGGGCCCGCACAAGCGGUGGAGCAUGUGGCUUUAAUUCGAUGCAACACGAGAACCUUACCAGGACUUGACAUGAAGAGAAUUUUUUGAAAGAGAAUGUGCUACGGCCUCUACACAGGUGGUGCAUGCUGUCGUCAGCUCGUGUCGUGAGAUGUGGGUAGUCCCGCACGAGCGCACCCUGUUCUAGUGAUCUCUAGAAGACUGCGAUAUAUCGAGGAGUGAGAUGACGUCAGUCAUCAUGCCCUACGUCUGGCUACCACUGCUACAUGGGGUGACAAAAGUGCAGUUGGGAACCGCUAUCUUUGAACCAUCCUUAGUUCGAAUGUAGGCUGCAACUGCCUACUGGAGGGGAAUCCUAGAUUCCAGUGACCCGAAAUGGGGGAUCGUUCCGGCCGUGUAAACGCGGUACCCAUGGGAACGGUUGUUAUCAUCA